Vespa mandarinia (Asian giant hornet) is the source of this 485-nucleotide long non-coding RNA. Lineage: Eukaryota; Metazoa; Arthropoda; Insecta; Hymenoptera; Vespidae. The record is from RefSeq and is a predicted model, not a curated record.
GGAACCUUCGACGUCCACCGACGUUUUAGCUUCUUCCCUCGUAGCAUACAUAUCGGUCCUGUCCUCCAGGGAAAUCGUAAGAUUUAUUUACGCCACUCUCAUCACGGAAUCAAUAUAAGAAAAGAUAAGGGAAGAAAACAGGAAGACGAAAAGGAAGAGGAGGAAGAAUGAACGAAGCGAAUACGUAGAGUACGUAAUGUGCACGUACGAAGGAAGCAAGCGGAGGAAGAAGCAGCGAACGAACCAACCAACGAAGCAAGGAACAAACCAAGCAAGCAGCAAGCAACCAACCAAGCUCUACCUAGCGGGGAGAGAUGCGCGAGCUUGUUCGCGCUCCUUAUAUGGCCAUCCGCGCAGUCUGAACUCGGCAAUGCGCUUCCAGAAGAGAUUCUCACAAAUUUACGCGGUACUACGUUUCCAUCGCUACUUUCUCUCCCCCGCUAGAAGAUACUUUUUGCCUGCGCUACGACGAUACACACACACGG